UUGUUCUGUAUGACCUCCUAUCAUUCCAGUUAUCUUGCUGGAAUACCACAGAACUCACCUUGGAAGACUUUUUCUCUAGCAGAUCAUUGUUACAUCUUCCAAUCACCUCAUCCUGUGCUGAAGGGUUUUAGUUUGAUUGUCUUCGGUGUGAAAACAGCUCCAUAACUAAUCAUCCUGUGUGACCUGCUCUGGAACUUUAUCAGAUGGAGAAUUUCAUUGGAUUUGAAUUCUCAGCAGACUGCUUCCUUCAAGCAAGAAAAAUUUGAAGGAAUAAUUUUCCCAUUUUGUAGAAAAAGUUUUUCACUCUAUCUUUAAUUUUCUGAAUAAACAAAAGGCUUGCAUUUCCUGAAAUGUUCAGCAGAUUUUCUGAAGGCUCUACUGAGAAAAGGAUUAGAAAAGAAGUAAAUACUGCCACAGGUUAUUUUUUUGUAUCGUUGCAGAGGUAACUUCUGACCCAUAAUAAAGUAAAAAGCAUUAAAAAGGCAAUGAUUAUGUGGUAAUCAUUAUCAAAGGUAUCAGUCACCUAUUGUAAGUAAAAUCCUGUAUAUUUUACAUUCUACUCUGUGGAAAUUGUUAGCAAAAGAAGUUUAAUGGCAGCCCACUCUAUUUUCUGAUUAGUAUUUCUCCCUUUCUUACCACUGCCGUGUGUUCUUCUCUGCCAUUUUAUUUUGCUCCACACAUUGUAUAGAAGAAAACAGAAUUAACAUUAUUUGUUUCUCAUUUCAUAUUCUCCCACCCCUAUGUGGUUAUUUUCUGUGAGCAGCAGCUCUUCUCAUCACAAUAUAAUGACUACUGUGGUGACUAGAGGAAUAAAACAUAACUUUAUUUUAACAUUAUUAUCAUCUCUAAGUUAAGUUGAUGAGGUCCUGACAGAUCUGCUGACUUUUCUCAAUGCCAUUUACAAGAAUGAUUCAAUUACAUCUAUUAUGUUUCCUCUGAAGGGAGUAUAGAAUAGAUAAAAAUAGCUUUGCAGGUUUCUGACCAGACCGUUCUAAAAGAAGAUUGUUCAUCCCACCAUACAAUCAAACAACUGGCUGAAAUUUUCAUGGCCUAGAAGGUGGUAUUUUUUUUUCUUUCAAACUUUGUUCACUAAUUAAUUUUAGAAUUACAUCUAUCAGUGUUCAGCUUAUGAUGCACCUCAAAGGCACCUUGCUAAAGUUCAUUUUUUAAAGAAGAGAAGAGUUACAGAGAAUGUCAAUUUAUUCUCAGGUUGAUUGCAUUUUUCAAAAUGUAUGUAAGCAGUUAAGACAAAAUAAGUUUAUUUCAGUAGUGAAGAGUGUAGUCUCCUUUUUAAACCCAAAGACAUUCAGAAGGAUCUCAACACAUUGAAGAAAUAGAUUAACAGGGAUCUCAUGAAUUUCAGUGAAGGGAAAUGCCAAGUCCUGUGCUGGGGACAAAUAACCCACACACCAGUACAUACUGCAGGCUGACUGACUGGAAAGCCGCUGGUAAGCAGUUUUUUUCAAGAAGGACCUUAGAGGACUAGAAGUCAACAUGCUGAGCACGAGCCAGUAAUGUGAUCCUGUGACAAAGAAGGCAAACAGCAUCCUGGACUGUGCUAGAAAGGCAAUCACAAACUAGAUGAAGAGAGGAGAUCCUUCCCCUCUGUUCAGCACAUUGAAAUGCUUUGUUUGUCUUUGGGCUCUUCAGAAUUUCAGGAGAGACAGAAUCAUAAAUCAUUGAGUCAUUGACACAGGAGCUACUGAAGCAAAUCCAGGACAAGGCCACAAAGACAUUUAAGGGACUAGACCAUCUUCCACAUGUGUGAGUCUGAGAGACCUAAAAUCAUUCAUCCUGGAGAAGAGAAAGCUCAGGCAAAUCUUACCAGAGUGUAUAAACACCUUUUGGAGCUGAGCGAAGAACACAGACCCUGUCUAUUCUCAGUGAUAUCCAGUGCCAAGAAAAUAAAUAAUGGGCACAAAAUGGAAGACAGGACUUUCUAGUAAAAAAAUAAAAAAAAAAUAAUAAUAAAAAAAUAACUGUCAAACUCUGAAACAGUUAGAGUAGACAGAUGCUCCAAUCUCCAUUCUUGAAGAUACUCAAAUCCAGAUGUACACAGCCCCAGCUGACCAUCCUUUGAACUGUUGUAAGGGGGACAGAACCUGACAAUCUCCAGAGGUUUUUUCCCAACAAAACUGCUCUGUGAUUCUGUAAUUGAGUUAUGUCAAAAAGGAGCUCUACCUUUAAAAAUGAGUUCUUUUUCCUAAGGAGAGAAUAUGAAAGGUAAACUGUAACCCCAGAAGCACACUGUUGUAGUUCAGCUCUGAAACCAGAGAAAAACAGAGAAACAUCAGUGUGGAUGGGACCUUGUGAGAUUAGUAUGUCUGAACCAUGAACAAAAAUCUCAGAUGGAAUUUACAGAUUGUGACCAUCUGGCAAAUUUGUCAGUGGGGAACUAUCAGUCCUCAUUAAGGGAAGAUAGAAGAUCACUAUCAAUGAAAUGUUCCACAAGGAAAGGACUAGUGGAGGAAAAGCAGAAUCAUACUAGAAAGACAAAUCUCAAGUCCAACAGGAAGCAUCAAGGGAAUGGUAUCAUCAAACUAAUGGACUAGAAAGAUAACUACAAAUUCCAGUGCAAAUCUGAAUACUCCAUUGAAUUAGUUCUGAUGCUCUGCAGUUUCACUGAAUUUUUAGUCUUCUUUAGUUCAGAUAUUGGCUUUUUUAUUUUUAAUUUAUUUUCUAGCUGUUCUUUUAGAUUUAAAAGUUAUUUUUAGUUGCAACACAAAUGUGUUUCCACAAUCAAAGCUCCACUUGAAUGCAAAUCAUUGGAAGUGUUUAAAAAUAUCUCCUCCCUGAAUAAAUAAGGAAUUAUUAACAAAAGUUUUAGGAAGUCAAACAGUGAUUAUUCCCAUAAAAGAGAAACAAGAUUUAGAGUAGAAUUUUUUUAAUGCAUUCUGUCUAGUAUUAUAAAUGUGGAUGAGUAGAAGAAUCUGGAUUAAUUUUUGUAGAGCCUCCUUAUUUUUCAUCAGUGCACUUCAUCUGAAAUUAUUAUGAAAAAUAUGUUAAUGCCUGGAAUGCAUAUGUUUAUAGGCUGUAAGUGAAUGACCACUGAAUUCUACAUGUAGUCUUAUUAUGCCAUGCUUCUGGUUGAUGGAACAGCAUUUUGAAUUUUUCUGAAAUCUUUCCAGUUUUUCAACAUUAGUUUUUGAAAGCACAGAAGCAGAAUAUUGUUUGCUUGUCCAGUAUCGGUAUUUCUGAAAGAUUAUUUUUUCUUCAUUAUUUUUGAGCUACAUUCUCUUAAUCAUCUCUAGUUAGAGAAUUAUUUUGAAAUCUGCUUUAUAACAGGUGUUUAUGACUUCUCUGUUGCAGUGCUGCAAGGUAUAACCUUUAGUUUGCUAAGUUGUAUUUUGUACACAAGCUGUACCAAUGCUUAUAAUGAGGCAUUUGGCUGUAUUAAGAUAUUCAUUCAAAACAGCCCACAGUACUGAACAGACAAGAAGAUUUCUCCCUGAGAUCUCUCUCCCAUAGCAAUUUGUUCUUCUGUCAUUCUUUUCACAAAUUAUGCCAACAUAUUUAUUUUUGAUGGAUAUAAACUUAUAUUAAAUCCCUGAGAUACCAGUCUGAUAAAGAUUCAGUGA
Molecule: non-coding RNA, 3578 nt
Organism: Cyanistes caeruleus (blue tit)
Lineage: Eukaryota; Metazoa; Chordata; Aves; Passeriformes; Paridae
Source: RefSeq, a predicted model, not a curated record